RNAcentral lists this ribosomal RNA (425 nucleotides) under uncultured bacterium. RNAcentral's name for it is "partial 16S ribosomal RNA". It matches the Rfam family "Bacterial small subunit ribosomal RNA", at positions 354 to 796 of the family's 1533-position model. The record is from RNAcentral.
GUGGGGAAUAUUGCACAAUGGGGGAAACCCUGAUGCAGCGACGCCGCGUGGAGGAAGAAGGUCUUCGGAUUGUAAACUCCUGUUGUUGAGGAAGAUAAUGACGGUACUCAACAAGGAAGUGACGGCUAACUACGUGCCAGCAGCCGCGGUAAAACGUAGGUCACAAGCGUUGUCCGGAAUUACUGGGUGUAAAGGGAGCGCAGGCGGGAAGACAAGUUGGAAGUGAAAUCCAUGGGCUCAACCCAUGAACUGCUUUCAAAACUGUUUUUCUUGGGUAGUGCAGAGGUAGGCGGAAUUCCCGGUGUAGCGGUGGAAUGCGUAGAUAUCGGGAGGAACACCAGUGGCGAAGGCGGCCUACUGGGCACCAACUAACGCUGAGGCUCGAAAGUGUGGGUAGCAAACAGGAUUAGAAACCCCUGUAGUCC